ACACUACCUUUAAUGUUAUGUGAUUGUUAAAAUAAUAUAGUGGAGACAUAAUAUAUAGGAGAACAUACAUGUGUAUAUUAUUCAUAUACACUUUGUCAUUUACAUGUACAUAUGAUUAUGUAUAUAAAUAAUAUAGGUGAAUAGUCAGCACCACAGGUAGAAGUUCUUGUAUAUUGUUAGCUGAAAAAAAGCAGGUUACACACUAGUAAGGUGUUCAUUAUAAACCCUAAUUCAUUUUUUGAGUACAUAUAUGCAUAGAGAGUAAUACUGUACAUACAUUGACAGCAGUGAUCUCAAGAGAAUCAUUUUCAUAUUGUACUAUUCGGUUCUCAGCAUCUUUUUGCUUUUCUCUGCAAUGAAUAUUUAUUACUUUGCAACAAGACAAAAUUUUUAUUUUAAGAAAUAUUUAUUUAAAGAAAAGAAUGCUCCACUUUGACUACUGCCGAUUAUAUCGUCCUAAGUUUAUCUCCGAAAUGUAAGUUCAGGAAGGUGAUCAGUGCAAAGUGAAUACGAGUUUAUGGAUGAAAAUACCUCCUCCAGAAGGUAGUAAAACAGAACAUCUGGUGACAAAAUCUCCACUCUGGAAAAAAAAAUGAGUGAAACAGGAGCAUAUGUUAAAGUAAGGGGCCAUAUUCAAGUCAUCUAAAUUUAGAGCCAGGAUUAAAGAAUUUUGGGAACAUUGUGAGAUGAGUAUUAUGAUUUAAAAAUAAAUUGGAUAUACAUAUAUAUAUUUUAAAGAUUUUAUUUAUUUAUUUGACAGAGAGAGAGAGAGCGCACAAGCAAGGGGGAGAAGCGGGCAGAGGCAGAAGCACGCUCCCCGCAGAGCAGGGACCCCGACGUGGGGCUCCAUCCCGGGACCCUGGGAUCAUGAUCUGAGCCAAACGCAGACCCUUAGCUGACUGAGCCACCCAGGGGCCCCCAAAAUAAAUUGUAUUUUAUAAGAUAUAAAAAUAAUAAAACUAUACAUUGUACAAAAGUAAGAGAAUGUAAACUCAUCAUCUGUAUCAGUCAGUUGAGAUGCUAUUUAAAGUUUAAACACAUGGUUAUAAUUAUCUGUUCAAUUUAAAAAUUUUCAUGACUUUAGUGCAGGUUUUCUCAAUCUCAACAGUAUUGGCGUUUUGAGCCAAAUGAUUCUUUGUUCAGAAGGCUGUCCUGUAUAUUGUAGGACGUAGCGACACCCCUGUCCUCUGCUCACUAGAAACCAGUAGUAUCUCCUCUUAUGCCCCUGUUGCGACAACUAGAAAGUCUCUAGAUAACGCCAAAAGUCUCUAGAGAGACAGCGCCUCUUGAGAACCACUGCCUUAGAGGUUUCAUCUAAGAAUAUUUUCUUGUAGGGGCACCUGGGUGGCUCAGUGGUUGAGCAUCUGCCUUUGGCUCAGGGCAUGAUCCCCGGGUCCUGGGAUCGAGUCCUGCAACAGGCUCCCUGCAUGGAGCCUGCUUCUCCCUCUGCCUAUGUCUCUGCCUCUCUCUGUGUGUCUCUCAUGAAUAAAUAAAUAGAAUCUUUUUUAAAAAAUAAUAUUUUCUUGUAAUUGGAAAAGUAAAUUAUCUAAAAUUUUAAAAAAAUAAUGAAGGACCAAGGAUGGCCUCCAAAGUCCCAUCUGGGUAUAAAAUAGGUUCUCUGUGUUCUCUCACCAGUCAGUUGGCUGUGGUCACCGUCCAGAUGGGCAAUCAUGGCGUGAGUGUCAGGUGGCCACUAGCAGGGUUGGAUCAGUCGGGUGGGGACUGGCAGGAAAGCUGCAAGGCUGGAAAACUAGCUCCAGCGACCCAGGAAGCCAGUGCUGGGAAGACGAGCUGUGGCCCCAGGACAGAGGGCAGGGGUCACAGCGAGGGCUUGGGAUGUAUGUGCUGCAACUUGCAGCCUCCCCAGGAGGUGUGGGCUUGGCUUCCUUCCCCUGGC
This 1897-nucleotide long non-coding RNA is filed under the name Canis lupus familiaris (dog). RNAcentral describes it as "lncRNA (ENSCAFG00000056665.1, ENSCAFG00805006723.1)". Lineage: Eukaryota; Metazoa; Chordata; Mammalia; Carnivora; Canidae. The record is from RNAcentral.